CCCUAGCCCCGAUUGAAGCUUUGUUUGAGCUCUUUUUUGUUUUUUUCAAACAAAAAAAGCGAGUGCGGAAAGCGGGAAAUUGC
This is a small RNA of 83 nucleotides. It matches the Rfam family "Flavo-1 RNA".